UACGUAGGGUGCAAGCGUUAAUCGGAAUUACUGGGCGUAAAGCGUGCGCAGGCGGUUGUGCAAGACAGAUGUGAAAUCCCCGGGCUUAACCUGGGAAUUGCAUUGUGACUGCACGGCUAGAGUGUGUCAGAGGGGGGUAGAAUUCCACGUGUAGCAGUGAAAUGCGUAGAUAUGUGGAGGAAUACCGAUGGCGAAGGCAGCCCCCUGGGAUAACACUGACGCUCAUGCACGAAAGCGUGGGGAGCAAACAGG
This 252-nucleotide ribosomal RNA is filed under the name uncultured bacterium. RNAcentral's name for it is "partial 16S ribosomal RNA". It matches the Rfam family "Bacterial small subunit ribosomal RNA", at positions 524 to 776 of the family's 1533-position model. The record is from RNAcentral.